GGCUGUGGCUCAUCGGCAGAACGCCUGCCUCACACAUAGGAGGCACUGGGUUCGAUCCUCAGCACCA
Molecule: transfer RNA, 67 nt
Filed under: Marmota monax (woodchuck)
Lineage: Eukaryota; Metazoa; Chordata; Mammalia; Rodentia; Sciuridae
Description: tRNA.Val
Source: RNAcentral